Molecule: transfer RNA, 65 nt
Filed under: Dipodomys ordii (Ord's kangaroo rat)
Lineage: Eukaryota; Metazoa; Chordata; Mammalia; Rodentia; Heteromyidae
Rfam family: tRNA
About the family: Transfer RNA (tRNA) molecules are approximately 80 nucleotides in length. Their secondary structure includes four short double-helical elements and three loops (D, anti-codon, and T loops). Further hydrogen bonds mediate the characteristic L-shaped molecular structure. tRNAs have two regions of fundamental functional importance: the anti-codon, which is responsible for specific mRNA codon recognition, and the 3' end, to which the tRNAs corresponding amino acid is attached (by aminoacyl-tRNA synthetases). tRNAs cope with the degeneracy of the genetic code in two manners: having more than one tRNA (with a specific anti-codon) for a particular amino acid; and 'wobble' base-pairing, i.e. permitting non-standard base-pairing at the 3rd anti-codon position.
Source: Rfam by way of RNAcentral
GGUGGCUCAGUGGUAGAGUGCUUGCCUAGCAUGCAUGAGGCCGUGGGUUCAAUUCCUUGGCACCA